This 164-nucleotide ribosomal RNA is filed under the name Acer palmatum subsp. palmatum. Its description in RNAcentral is "5.8S ribosomal RNA". Lineage: Eukaryota; Viridiplantae; Streptophyta; Magnoliopsida; Sapindales; Sapindaceae. The record is from RNAcentral.
AAAACAAUUUCCGGCAACGAAAUUUUCGGUUUUCCAUUCAUUAAAAAAGGAACCAAAUGGGAAAAUUUGGGGGGAAUUGCAAAAUCCCGGGAACCUUCAGGCUUUUAAACCCAAUUUGGCCCCCAAGCCUUUAGGCCAAGGGACCCCCGGCCGGGGGGCCCCCC